This 318-nucleotide long non-coding RNA is filed under the name Physcomitrium patens. RNAcentral describes it as "long non-coding RNA (PPAT_LNC005568)". Lineage: Eukaryota; Viridiplantae; Streptophyta; Bryopsida; Funariales; Funariaceae. The record is from RNAcentral.
UAAUAAUAUUAAUCAUAAUAAAAAAGGGAAAAAUAUGGUCCCUUGGCCAACCGACCAAGUGUUAUUCCCCAUGCACACUGCUCAAAUUUGAGUGCGACAAUUUGUGAAACAAAAAAAUUCUUUUUUCGUAAGAAAAUACCAUUGAAGAGUGAAUUUCAACAACAUCGCAAAUAAUUUCAAACAUCUCUGGUAAUUGAGUUCUGAGAGUUGGUUUGACUCCAUUUUGCAGGUGGUGUGUUGAAGUAGCAUACAAGCCAUGCGACAAACUGCUAGACGCAAUCAAUCUCACGAUCACGUCGUUUGGAAAAACCCAUCAAC